UGGCUGUGGUGGAAAUGGUCAGGGUAAGGAAUGACAUACGGCUGUCUGAAAUCAAACAGGCUAUUGAGAACAGCAAUGACACCUUUGCCAAUGUGCCAUCAAUUAGCCUUCCAACAAUUGCCCGGCUUUUGAAGAAGCACCAGGUUUCCAUGAAAAAAAUUUACUUGGUUCUUUUUGAGAGGAACAAUGUCCGGGUGAAACAACUGCGUUCAGAAUAUAUUCAGAGGGUGAUGGAGCUGGACGCUGCUGUGAAUCAUCACAAGUAUAUUUUCGUUGAUGAGGCCGGUUUCAAUCUGGCAAAAACUAGACGCAGAGGACGUAACCUUAUUGGACAAAGGGCUACAAUCCAAGUCCCUGGACAACGUGGGGGAAACAUCUCAAUGUGUGCAGCUAUAUCUGAAGAUGGUGUGGUAGGCUGUAGACCAGUUCUAGGGUCAUACAACACUGAACACCUGAUAGUUUUUU
Oreochromis niloticus (Nile tilapia) is the source of this 465-nucleotide long non-coding RNA. RefSeq lists it as uncharacterized. The record is from RefSeq and is a predicted model, not a curated record. NCBI's taxonomy places the organism in Eukaryota, Metazoa, Chordata, Actinopteri, Cichliformes, Cichlidae. The transcript has 2 exons.